GAUGAACGCUGGCGGCGUGCCUAAUACAUGCAAGUCGAGCGAACAGACGAUGAGCUUGCUCCUCUGACGUUAGCGGCGGACGGGUGAGUAACACGUGGAUAACCUACCUAUAAGACUGGUAUAACUUCGGGAAACCGGAGCUAAUCGCGUAUAAUAUAUUGAACCGCAUGGUUCAAUAGUGAAAGUCGGUUUUUCUGUCACUUAUAGAUGGUUCCGGGCCGCAUUAGCUAGUUGGUAAGGUAACGGCUUACCAAGGCGACGAUGCGUAGCCGACCUGAGAGGGUGAUCGGCCACACUGGAACUGAGACACGGUCCAGACUCCUACGGGAGGCAGCAGUAGGGAAUCUUCCGCAAUGGGCGAAAGCCUGACGGAGCAACGCCGCGUGAGUGAUGAAGGUCUUCGGAUCGUAAAACUCUGUUAUUAGGGAAGAACCAAUGUGUAAGUAACUAUGCACGUCUUGACGGUAACUAAUCAGAAAGCCACGGCUAACUACGUG
RNAcentral lists this ribosomal RNA (497 nucleotides) under uncultured bacterium. Its description in RNAcentral is "partial 16S ribosomal RNA". It matches the Rfam family "Bacterial small subunit ribosomal RNA", at positions 28 to 507 of the family's 1533-position model. The record is from RNAcentral.